UGAGUAACCUGCCCUUAACUCUGGGAUAAGCCUGGGAAACUGGGUCUAAUACCGGGUAUGACUCCUCAUCGCAUGGUGGGGGGUGGAAAGCUUUAUUGUGGUUUUGGAUGGACUCGCGGCCUAUCAGCUUGUUGGUGAGGUAAUGGCUCACCAAGGCGACGACGGGUAGCCGGCCUGAGAGGGCGAUCGGCCACACUGGGACUGAGACACGGCCCAGACUCCGUACGGGAGGCAG
RNAcentral lists this ribosomal RNA (235 nucleotides) under uncultured bacterium. RNAcentral's name for it is "partial 16S ribosomal RNA". It matches the Rfam family "Bacterial small subunit ribosomal RNA", at positions 118 to 351 of the family's 1533-position model. The record is from RNAcentral.